This 245-nucleotide long non-coding RNA is filed under the name Carica papaya (papaya). RNAcentral's name for it is "long non-coding RNA (CPAP_LNC013262)". The record is from RNAcentral. Lineage: Eukaryota; Viridiplantae; Streptophyta; Magnoliopsida; Brassicales; Caricaceae.
AUCUCAUUCUAGGUAUUUAGACCUGGUCUAAUUUUUGCCACACCAUACAUAUCAAAUCUUUACAAUUAUCUCUGUUAUUUUUAAACAACUCAAAUGUGAUAUUUUAAAAAUUGAAUUGCACUUAUCACCAUCUCUAGGAAUUGCAGCUUGUUUUUCAUCUUUUCACACCUCAUAUAGUUAUAUUUGAUUGUGUAUUUUACACAUGACUUGUGUGGGAUUACUUAUUCAAAAAUAUAAUUUUCUCU